This 1436-nucleotide ribosomal RNA is filed under the name uncultured organism. Its description in RNAcentral is "SSU rRNA". It matches the Rfam family "Bacterial small subunit ribosomal RNA". The record is from RNAcentral.
ACGCUAGCUACAGGCUUAACACAUGCAAGUCGAGGGGCAGCAUCAUCAAAGCUUGCUUUGAUGGAUGGCGACCGGCGCACGGGUGAGUAACACGUAUCCAACCUGCCGACAACACUGGGAUAGCCUUUCGAAAGAAAGAUUAAUACCGGAUGGCAUAGUUUUCCCGCAUGGGAUAAUUAUUAAAGAAUUUCGGUUGUCGAUGGGGAUGCGUUCCAUUAGGCAGUUGGCGGGGUAACGGCCCACCAAACCUACGAUGGAUAGGGGUUCUGAGAGGAAGGUCCCCCACAUUGGAACUGAGACACGGUCCAAACUCCUACGGGAGGCAGCAGUGAGGAAUAUUGGUCAAUGGACGAGAGUCUGAACCAGCCAAGUAGCGUGAAGGAUGACUACCCUAUGGGUUGUAAACUUCUUUUAUACGGGAAUAAAGUGAGCCACGUGUGGCUUUUUGUAUGUACCGUAUGAAUAAGGAUCGGCUAACUCCGUGCCAGCAGCCGCGGUAAUACGGAGGAUUCGAGCGUUAUCCGGAUUUAUUGGGUUUAAAGGGAGCGUAGGCGGGUUGUUAAGUCAGUUGUGAAAGUUUGCGGCUCAACCGUAAAAUUGCAGUUGAUACUGGCGACCUUGAGUGCAACAGAGGUAGGCGGAAUUCGUGGUGUAGCGGUGAAAUGCUUAGAUAUCACGAAGAACUCCGAUUGCGAAGGCAGCUUACUGGAUUGUAACUGACGCUGAUGCUCGAAAGUGUGGGUAUCAAACAGGAUUAGAUACCCUGGUAGUCCACACAGUAAACGAUGAAUACUCGCUGUUGGCGAUAUACAGUCAGCGGCCAAGCGAAAGCAUUAAGUAUUCCACCUGGGGAGUACGCCGGCAACGGUGAAACUCAAAGGAAUUGACGGGGGCCCGCACAAGCGGAGGAACAUGUGGUUUAAUUCGAUGAUACGCGAGGAACCUUACCCGGGCUUAAAUUGCAACUGACGGAACCGGAAACGGUUCUUUCUUCGGACAGUUGUGAAGGUGCUGCAUGGUUGUCGUCAGCUCGUGCCGUGAGGUGUCGGCUUAAGUGCCAUAACGAGCGCAACCCUUACGGGUAGUUACCAUCAGGUUAUGCUGGGGACUCUACCCGGACUGCCGUCGUAAGAUGUGAGGAAGGUGGGGAUGACGUCAAAUCAGCACGGCCCUUACGUCCGGGGCUACACACGUGUUACAAUGGGGGGUACAGAAGGCAGCUACACGGCGACGUGGUGCUAAUCCCAAAAGCCUCUCUCAGUUCGGAUUGGAGUCUGCAACCCGACUCCAUGAAGCUGGAUUCGCUAGUAAUCGCGCAUCAGCCACGGCGCGGUGAAUACGUUCCCGGGCCUUGUACACACCGCCCGUCAAGCCAUGAAAGCCGGGGGUACCUGAAGUACGUAACCGCGAGGAGCGUCCUAGGGUAAAACUGGUGA